Molecule: ribosomal RNA, 403 nt
Filed under: Verrucomicrobiota bacterium
Lineage: Bacteria; Pseudomonadati; Verrucomicrobiota
Description: Verrucomicrobia bacterium partial 16S ribosomal RNA
Rfam family: Bacterial small subunit ribosomal RNA
Source: RNAcentral
UGGGGAAUAUUGCACAAUGGGGGAAACCCUGAUGCAGCGACGCCGCGUGAGCGAAGAAGGUUUUCGAAUCGUAAAGCUCUGUCCUAUGAGAAGAUAAUGACGGUACCAUAGGAGGAAGCCCCGGCUAACUACGUGCCAGCAGCCGCGGUAAUACGUAGGGGGCGAGCGUUGUCCGGAAUUACUGGGCGUAAAGGGUUCGCAGGCGGCAUGGCAAGUCCGAUGUAAAAGGCGAAGGCUCAACCUUCGUAAGCAUCGGAAACUGUCAAGCUUGAGUGAAGGAGAGGCAAGUGGAAUUCCUAGUGUAGCGGUGGAAUGCGUAGAUAUUAGGAGGAAUACCGGUGGCGAAGGCGACUUGCUGGACUUCAACUGACGCUGAGGAACGAAAGCGUGGGUAGCAAACAGG